AUACGUCCACCUUUCUCUCUCUAAAAACUCCAUUGCCGAAUUUACCAUUUAGCACCACUCUCCUCCUCCACCACCACCUACGCCAUCACCACCUCAUAAAAAAUGCUUACUCCUAGACAAAAACAACGAAAGGUGGUUGAUGCAUGAGACUCCUCAAUACAUAUCCCUUCCUCUCUCUCUCUUUUUUCUUUCCUUUGACUAUUCUUUUCUUUCACCACCUUCCUCUCCUAAAAUCCCAUAACCCCUUUUCUCUCUCUUAACAGAUUUUUCUGUUUCUUUCCUCGGUUUGUUCGCUUUCUCAACUACCAUCACCUCCUCCUUCAAGUUGCGACUGAUCUUGCCUCCUGUGAUCCAAGGAGCAAGGUGAUCAAUGCUAAAGGCCGGUGUCUAAGCCAUUGUGGACUGAGACGAAGAUUAUAAUCCACUAUGGUUAGCUUAAGAAGGCGUAAACUCUUGGGACUAUGUGCUGGAAGAAGUUCUUUCUUGACUCCACUUCCUCGAUUUUUUGACAAUGGAAUUGCUCCUUUAAGCUCUACCCAGAAUGCAAGGUCUGUAAGUGUACAUCCUCUGCCAGCAGAUGAUGUCAAGCAGCCUGGGGAGAAAACCGUUUCCAAAGUGGGAGCUGGUUCGUCAAAUGUGUCGGCUUCUAGCUCAUCAAAAGAGCAGCAAUCUCAACCUUAUCC
This 683-nucleotide unclassified non-coding RNA is filed under the name Hevea brasiliensis (rubber tree). Lineage: Eukaryota; Viridiplantae; Streptophyta; Magnoliopsida; Malpighiales; Euphorbiaceae. The record is from RNAcentral.